CAAAAACGCAGUGGAACAUGGGAUUCAAUGAGGAGAGUGCGAGCAGUCUCAAUGAGAUGCCUAUUCUUUCUUUCUGCUACACCAUUUUGCUGAGGAGUGUAUGGACAAGAUGUUUGGUGAAUAAUUCCUUGGUGAGACAUAAACUCCUGAAACUGGGAUGAUAAGUAUUCUAAGGCAUUAUCACUACGAAAAGUACGAAUAGAAACACCAAACUGAUUUUGUAUUUCAGCAAAGAAACUUUUGAAUAUAGAAAAUAACUCAGAACGAUCUUUCAUUAAGAAAACCCAAGUACAUCUCGAAUAAUCAUCAAUGAAACUAACAAAAUAACGAAAUCCUAAGGUGGAACUGACUCUACUAGGACCCCAAAUAUCAGAAUGAACUAAUGAAAAAAUAGACUCUGAACGACCCUCAGUACUACGAGAAAACGUAGCACGAGUGUGUUUCCCAAGUUGACACGACUCACAAUCUAAUGUGGAUAAACUAGACAAACUAGGCACCAUCUUUUGCAGUUUGGAUAGACUUGGAUGUCCCAAACGUUUGUGAAUUAGAUCUGGGGAAUCUGUAACGGAGCAUGCUGUUAAGGAAUUUGAAGAGGUAAGAUAGUAAAGGCCUUGUGAUUCAUGUCCUGUGCCAAUCAUCUGUCCCAUACUGUGGUCCUGCAUGAGAAUAAAAUCAUCAAAAAAGGUUAUGCUACAAUGUAGGGCUUUCGUCAAACGACUAACAGAUGCUAGAUUAAAAGGAGAACCAGGGACAUAAAGAACAGAGUCUAGGGUGACAGAAGAUACGGGUUUGGCUUUUCCAAGUCUAGGGAAUCUGUAACGGAGCAUGCUGUUAAGGAAUAUGAAGAGGUAAGAUAGUAAAGGCCUUGUGAUUCAUGUCCUGUUCCAAUCAUCUGUCCCGUACUGCGGUCCUGCAUGAGAAAAAAAUCAUCAAAAAAGGUUAUGCUACAAUGUAGGGCUUUCGUCAAACGACUAACCGAUGCUAGAUUAAAAAGGAGAACCAGGGAC
RNAcentral lists this long non-coding RNA (1007 nucleotides) under Solanum tuberosum (potato). RNAcentral's name for it is "long non-coding RNA (STUB_LNC007278)". The record is from RNAcentral. Lineage: Eukaryota; Viridiplantae; Streptophyta; Magnoliopsida; Solanales; Solanaceae.